GAAACUCAAAGGAAUUGACGGGGGCCCGCACAAGCGGCGGAUUAUGUGGUUUAAUUCGAUGAUACGCGAGGUACCUUACCAAGGCUUAAAUGGGAAUUGAUCGGUUUAGAAAUAGACCUUCCUUCGGGCAAUUUUCAAGGUGCUGCAUGGUUGUCGUCAGCUCGUGCCGUGAGGUGUUAGGUUAAGUCCUGCAACGAGCGCAACCCCUGUCACUAGUUGCCAUCAUUCAGUUGGGGACUCUAGUGAGACUGCCUACGCAAGUAGAGAGGAAGGUGGGGAUGACGUCAAAUCAUCACGGCCCUUACGCCUUGGGCCACACACGUAAUACAAUGGCCGGUACAGAGGGCAGCUACACAGCGAUGUGACGCAAAUCUCGAAAGCCGGUCUCAGUUCGGAUUGGAGUCUGCAACUCGACUCUAUGAAGCUGGAAUCGCUAGUAAUCGCGCAUCAGCCAUGGCGCGGUGAAUACGUUCCCGGGCCUUGUACACACCGCCCGUCAAGCCAUGGAAGUCUGGGGUACCUGAAGUCGGUGACCGUAAAAGGAGCUGCCUAGGGUAAAACAGGUAACUAGGGCUAAGUCGUAAC
This 585-nucleotide ribosomal RNA is filed under the name uncultured bacterium. RNAcentral describes it as "bacterial SSU rRNA". It matches the Rfam family "Bacterial small subunit ribosomal RNA", at positions 896 to 1492 of the family's 1533-position model. The record is from RNAcentral.